AUAAAUGUAUCACACAAAAGAGUAUAAUAAAAGGUUUUGGUAAAGUCACUGUAUUCAAGAAAGCUGAUGAAACUGACGCUGUGGAAGCUAAUAAGAACAAAGGCAAUGCUUUCCGCCGCUGAUGAUAGCAAAUGUUGUUCCAAUACAACAAGGUUUUUGUAUUUUGAAAUGUAAAAUUAUAUGUCAAAGAAAACAGAUUUGUUAUAUGUUUCUGAUUCCAGGAUACGUUUGAGAGCAUCAGAUUCAUAAGCACGAAAA
Molecule: long non-coding RNA, 258 nt
Filed under: Brassica napus (rape)
Lineage: Eukaryota; Viridiplantae; Streptophyta; Magnoliopsida; Brassicales; Brassicaceae
Description: long non-coding RNA (BNAP_LNC004932)
Source: RNAcentral